GUCCACGCUGUAAACGAUGGGUGCUAGGUGUGGGAGGUGUCGACUCCUUCCGUGCCGAAGCUAACGCAUUAAGCACCCCGCCUGGGGAGUACGGCCGCAAGGCUAAAACUCAAAGGAAUUGACGGGGGCCCGCACAAGCAGCGGAGCAUGUGGUUUAAUUCGACGCAACGCGAAGAACCUUACCAGGGCUUGACAUGCACGGGAAUGUCGGAGAAAUUCGGCAGCCCCUCGGGGCUCGUGCACAGGUGGUGCAUGGCUGUCGU
This 263-nucleotide ribosomal RNA is filed under the name uncultured bacterium. RNAcentral's name for it is "partial 16S ribosomal RNA". It matches the Rfam family "Bacterial small subunit ribosomal RNA", at positions 793 to 1055 of the family's 1533-position model. The record is from RNAcentral.